AAAGAAAGCGUAAUAGCUCACUGGUCGAGUCGGCCUGCGCGGAAGAUGUAACGGGGCUAAACCAUGCACCGAAGCUGCGGCAGCGACGCUGAUGCGUUGUUGGGUAGGGGAGCGUUCUGUAAGCCUGUGAAGGUGUACUGUGAGGUAUGCUGGAGGUAUCAGAAGUGCGAAUGCUGACAUAAGUAACGAUAAAGCGGGUGAAAAGCCCGCUCGCCGGAAGACCAAGGGUUCCUGUCCAACGUUAAUCGGGGCAGGGUGAGUCGA
RNAcentral lists this ribosomal RNA (264 nucleotides) under Escherichia coli. RNAcentral describes it as "partial 23S ribosomal RNA". It matches the Rfam family "Bacterial large subunit ribosomal RNA", at positions 1125 to 1387 of the family's 2925-position model. The record is from RNAcentral. Lineage: Bacteria; Pseudomonadati; Pseudomonadota; Gammaproteobacteria; Enterobacterales; Enterobacteriaceae.